Molecule: ribosomal RNA, 405 nt
Filed under: uncultured bacterium
Lineage: Bacteria
Description: partial 16S ribosomal RNA
Rfam family: Bacterial small subunit ribosomal RNA
Source: RNAcentral
AUUGAACGCUAGCGGGAUGCUUUAUACAUGCAAGUCGAACGAGUGGCGGACGGGUGAGUAAGAUAUCGGAACGUGCCCAGUAGCGGGGGAUAACUACUCGAAAGAGUGGCAAAUACCGCAUAAUAUUGUUGCGGCGGAUAUCGGUUUAGCUAGUUGGUGGGGUAAAGGCUCACCAAGGCAACGAUCCGUAGCUGGUUUGAGAGGCCGACCGGCCACACUUGGACUGAGACACGGCCCAGACUCCUACGGGAGGCAGCAGUGGGGAAUUUUGGACAAUGGGGGAAACCCUGAUCCAUCCAUCCCGCGGGUAUGAGAAGGCCUUCGGGUUGUAAAGUACUUUUGGCAGAGAGGCGGUAUCUGCAGAAUAAGCACCGGCUAACUACGUGCCAGCAGCCGCGGUAAUUC